This 433-nucleotide ribosomal RNA is filed under the name Allothele australis. RNAcentral describes it as "partial 16S ribosomal RNA". It matches the Rfam family "Bacterial large subunit ribosomal RNA", at positions 1831 to 2600 of the family's 2925-position model. The record is from RNAcentral. Lineage: Eukaryota; Metazoa; Arthropoda; Arachnida; Araneae; Euagridae.
UUCUAAUAGAAAUAAUUAUUAGUAAGACCUGCCCUAUGAUUUUAAAUGGCCGCAGAAUUUUUACUGUGCUAAGGUAGCAUAAUCAAUUGCCCUCUAAUUAAGGGCUAGAAUGAAAGGUUUAACAUGAAAAUAUCUUUUUAUACAAAUUUCCUUUAAAUUUAUCUUAGUGUAAAAAAACACUAAUUUUACAGAGGGACGACAAGACCCUAUCGAACUUAACUUUAAGUUUAGCUGGGGUGGCAAAAAACAAAUUCUUUUAUUUUUAUUAACCAAAAUCCUUUUUAUGAAUAAAACAAGUUACCGUAGGGAUAACAGCAUAAUUUUUUCUUCAAGAUCUUAUUUAAGAAAAAGAUUGUGACCUCGAUGUUGAAUAAAUAAUCUUUUAGGGGCAAGACCUUAAAAAGAAAGUCUGUUCGACUUUUAAUUUUUUACA